Molecule: long non-coding RNA, 4297 nt
Organism: Mercurialis annua (annual mercury)
Lineage: Eukaryota; Viridiplantae; Streptophyta; Magnoliopsida; Malpighiales; Euphorbiaceae
Exons: 2
Source: RefSeq, a predicted model, not a curated record
UGAUGUUAGUUAAAAAUAUGAAGAUAGGAAACUGCAGAAGCAAGCGUAGCUCUGGAUUAUAGUUUUUAAGCUUGGAAUUGAAUUGAAGAUGCAAUCAAAUAUUUAUUGGAACAAAGAAUUUCAGGUGUUCUCUUCAUAGCUAUCACUUUUGAUGCGCUUGUCGUGAGAUUCACUGCGGGUACUUUCUUUCUCACAAUUGCUUCGCAUAGUCCUUUUGUCAAAAUUGCUUCCCUUGUUCUCCAUUUCAACCUGCUAAAAGCAAAUGAAUUAAAUGAACAUACAGAAAAUGGCACUUUUGAUGCUUAUUAUGGAAAAUGUAUCAGAUUAAUAUGGAAAAAAAUCUUACUUUGCCGGUUGAGCUCACAUUACCUGUGUAAUUGCCAAGUAGAAAGAUGAUGGAAAGACUGAGAUAGUUCUCUUUGGAGAAUUUUAAUGGUUAAUAUAAAUUGAAUGGCGAAGGCUUUAUUUGGUUAAUGACAAAGUAAUAGAUGGAAGCUAAAUGGGAGAGUGGAUUUUUAUUGGAGGUACGACAUAAAAUGCUAUUGGUAGUGACUUGUUUCGAAAAGUAAUAACUGAAAGCUCUUAAAAUAUUUCACUAGUAGUAUCAAUAUUAUAUAAUCAAGGCCCUUACUUUUCUAUUGAGAACCACUUCUCCAAAUAAUUCUGAAUAUAAUAUGUAAAUAGUAAGAAACAAAUCAGGUUAAAGAAUUGACUAUGGUAUGAGAUUGUCACCCUUAUGGUAAAUCUUUUAGAAUUUAGGUAUUUAAAUCAUGAUAUAUGUUAAGAAUAGUAACUGUAGUUAGCAUUAUGCUAACAUAGGCCAAGAAAAAUAUCAAAGAAAAUCUAGAAAAAAAGGAAAAUGAAUCUUGAGUAAUAAGUAUGUGUAGUUUUUGGUAUUUGUGUCGUUUGUCGCUUGUGUAGUAAUAUAUGUUUGCUGGUCUUCUUACUAAAAUGUUUUAUUUUCUAGAAUAAAUGAUUGCCUUUUUUAUAAUUGGAGAAGGAGGAGCACUUAUGGGAGAUUUGAACCCACGGUUUUGACAAUUUGUUGUCCAGCGCUUGUACUAUUGAGCUAAAGCCCGUUGGUAAUGAUGUUUGCCUUCUAUAAGGAUGUAAAUAAAUGGAGGAUUACUUUUUUACUUUUACUGAAGAAUUAAACAUUUAUAUUAAUCUAGCUAGUAUGAAAAAAAUUAUGUUUUUACUCUAGAAAGUAAUUAUAUUUCUUAAGAAGAAAAAAAUUUGGCACAUUCAUGUUGCAUGAGAGAGGAAAGCCAUCUAUACGGGUAGGUCUAAGGUGACAUGUAGCAGAUAAUUAGAUAGCACUAUUACCCUCGAUAAAUCUAAAAGUGUGGACUGGUUGCAAUGGAGGAAAUGGAUCUAUAACAUGAAUAUCAACAAGAUUGAGACUAAAGUUUAAGGAGUAAGUGGUCAUUUCUUGGUAGAUAUCAUUUCAUGAAUUUGUGAGAACAAUUAAAUAUUGGAUUAAUUCCUAAAAAAAUCACGAACUUUACACGAAGUUUCAUUUUAAUCAUGACCUUUAAAAGUUGUCAUUUAAAGGCACGAACUUUCAUUUUGUUUCAAAUCUAUCAUUUCAGUGUAUUUUUGUUGACUAAAUUCUUCAAUAAACCAUUAAUAAAAGACCCAAAUUAUAAAUCGACAUUAAAUCUUAUUAUCUUUUAGUUAGAGUAUAUAGGAUUAGGAAUUUUUGAUUCGAUAAAAUACACCGGAUUUUAUUUUGGCGAUAGAUUUGAAACAAAAUGAAAGUUCGUGCCUUUAAGUGACAACUUUUAAAGUUCAUGAUUAAAAUGAAACUUUGUGUAAAGUUCGUGAUUUUUUUAGGAAUUAACCCUUAAAUAUUUGACUAGUAAUCCAUGUCAUUUGCUUUUUGUUGAAUUCUUUGUGCUUUAUAAAACAUAUUAGGAAAAAUGAAUGGAUAUUUUGCCUACAAUAUGACACUUAUAACAUAGAUAAGUGAACCAAUCUUCAAUAGGUGAAGUGAUACGUAUUUGUUUCCGAUUAGCAAAGUACUCAUCAUUCACUACCUAUGGCAGUUUUAAUAGUGGCCUUUUACUUCAAAUGCCAUGUCAUUUAUGAUGAUAUAAUAUUAGUAACUUAACUUAUUUGUGGUUUUUAUUUAUAGAGAAAUGCUAGCAACCUUCUCCUCUUUGCCUUUAUCCGUUUGCCCUUUUCUCUAUUUUAUAAUUCAAUAAAUUUAAUUUUUUUUACGGAAGCGUAUUGAGUGAGUUUCAUUUUGAUAGAUUAUUUUAGAAGAAUAUACGAUAAUAAUUUAGCAAAAGAAGAUUAUACCAAUAGUGAAAUGAAGUUAAAAGAUUGUCAGUAUUAUCAUCCAACAAUUUUAUCGGGUUGCCUUGAUGUAACGUGUUAGGUGUCAACAAAACAGAGAAGGCAAUAGGAGAAGGUGAAAGAGAGAAAAUGGCUAGCAUUGAUCGUAUUUUAAUAUCUUAUGUAUACACUUAGAAGGGAGAUAAGUUAGUAAAAACUACAACAAAUUGAACUAAAUGAGCUAGAUGACUAUCAAGAUCAUUCAUUACCAAGGAAAUGAGUUCGUUUUUUAUUGAUAUGUUUCAAAGAGUUGUUUAAUUAGGUCUAUUCUUAAUGUUUGAUCAGUAGAAGUUGUUUUAUUUGGUUAGAUUUAUGUUGUCGAGUUGAAGCACAGUCUAUGGUAAAUUUCGCCUGUUAAUAGGCUGAUAUUUGUUGUCCUGUUUCUUUUUUGAAUUUUUUGCAUGAGCUAUGGUAACUUUGCUCUCUUGACGAUGAAGAAUAUUGUAGCUGCUCAAGAAUGCAAUUUGAAUAGAGAGGUAAACUCUUUAGUGUGAGGAUCACUGUUUGGUUUUCUUCCUGAAGGAGACCAGAAUAAUACCUUUUUAAAUUUGUUAUUUUCUCUUUGUAAAUAACUAGGAUAUUUGGUUAAUUUACAUGUAUUUAAUCCUUAAAAUAUGCACUAAUAAUCAUGAAAAAAUAUUUGAAAAACCUACAAGCAUGAGAUCCAAAAUACAUUGCCUAAAGAAAGGAAAUAUAUCAUGAAAGAGAUGGAGGACACAAACUUUUCUUGCAAAAUAGUCAUCGAUGUGAAAGAUACAUUGUAAAACUUGGAUGAGAAACAAAUUAUCUUGUUAAAUACUUGAUUUUGAUGAUAUAUGUAGCUCUAAUGGUGAUUUGGUGAAUGAUUGAUAUGUUAUUUAGUGAGCUUUGCUGUUUUGAAUUUAUCAGCAACGACAUUUGAGAAUCUAAUUGUUUUUGGUGUUAUUCGGGGUUACCGAUAUGCCCUCAUCUUUUUCAGGUUAGUUUUUCGGUUAACCUAAUUUUAUAUGAAUUCUUGCAAGUGGAUAAUGUAGAUACUUGGUGUGAUAUAUAGGCCCAAUUGCCUUCCACAGUGAUUCGAAACAAUAGAGCAACUAUAUAAGCAUUGUUUCACAAUCCAUCAUAUAUUAGGUUUGUGGUAAAAAGGUGAAAAUUUCUGGUAUUACAGAGUUACAAAUUGCUAUUCUUUAUUCAAAUUGAUUAAAUUUUUAGCAUGAACUCUUUUGCAUAUAGAAUAAGCAAUCUUUUGCUAAUAAAAGAAACUCGACCUUCCUAAAAGAAUUUUAUAGCUAACAGUCUCUACAUAUAUGGCUUUAUAAUUUGGUUUAUUCAAAUUUGAUUUCUACGUAUUUUUUAAUGAUUCAUUUGUAAAUUAAAGAAAUUUAAUCUGUGUUUCAUAGUAUUUUUAUAGUUGACAAUUGUUCUUUAUGACUUUAUGAAUGUGGUUCAUUAAGUUUGAUCUAAGUCAUCUUUUUGAUGGAACACUUAAUCUGUACUGAAACACUUCGAUGAGGAGUUGUAGCAUGCUUCUCAAUAUGACAGCGCUAGGCUUCAUCUUUUUUUUUUGUGGGAUUCCUCAGAUGAAAUUAAAAAUUUACCCGGACCUAAUACAAGCACUAAAUCGAUCAAUUUGGGUUCUGCAAGAACAGCUUGUCCGUGUAGCAUUCAAGAGUUUAAUGUUGGCCGUCAAAUUCGGCCAAUUUUAGCUAGCCAUCAGGGUGCAUUUGUUGGUAAAAUAAUCUGACUGUUCAUCGCUUAUUUGUCUUUAUUGGUUUUCAGCUUAAUCUGUGUCGUGUGAGGUUCCACGAGAUUGAACAUUUCAGUUUUUUGAGAAAUCAGUGUUGUUUUCUGAUUUUGCUAAAUAAUUGGUUUGAGAAAUCUGUGUUAUAUGGGAAUGUUGUUGUAGUAUGUUACAUAUGCUGUUUCAUAUUCUUGAAUUGUACUGCUUGGAAUUAAUAAUACUACAUUUGCAAGCUUA